GAAAUACUGGCCCCAGCGAAGUCAGUGGCACCCUAAAUUCAAGCCCCUUGUGCAUGUACACAUUAUGAUAGUCUUUUACUGUGUGAUCACACUUUUUUCCACAGAACACAGCACAAGCGGGUGAAAUAAGGUAACACAGGCAGCCUUAGUUCUGGCAUUUCCUAAUUUCCAGUACUUGACUUUGUACCCAUAAUAAUCUUUUAACACGUUUUUUUAAAUGUCAGAGAGAAAGGGUUUGAGAGAGAGAGAGUGUGACACACACAAAAAAUACGCUUCAUUUUCCUGACUGCUUGGCUAUAAUAUCCCCAGCACAGAAUCCAUGAAAGAGCAUUUGAGAAGUGCUUAGCUAAAGAAUUAUUCACCCUUGAUCCUGCAUUU
Long non-coding RNA from Dermochelys coriacea (leatherback sea turtle), 378 nucleotides. RefSeq lists it as uncharacterized. The transcript is spliced from 2 exons. The record is from RefSeq and is a predicted model, not a curated record. Lineage: Eukaryota; Metazoa; Chordata; Testudines; Dermochelyidae.